RNAcentral lists this long non-coding RNA (10110 nucleotides) under Lactuca sativa (garden lettuce). Its description in RNAcentral is "long non-coding RNA (LSAT_LNC008709)". Lineage: Eukaryota; Viridiplantae; Streptophyta; Magnoliopsida; Asterales; Asteraceae. The record is from RNAcentral.
GUCCUUCAAAGCGAAGCACUUUCCGAGCCAGGACUUAACCCCCUGCAGAGUCGGGAUGUCGUUUCCUAUGAGCAAUAUGUUAUCGACAUAUAGAAUGAGGAAGCUUACCAUACUCCCACUGGCUUUGACAUAUACACACGAUUCAUCUUCGCUUCGUACAAAUCCAAACUCUUUGACUUUCUCAUCGAAUGUCACAACUAGAAAUUUUUGUGCCUUGUAAACUACAACAACUAAGUCAAAUUGUGAAUCAAAGACAUGAGAACAUGUAUGAUGCAUACUCUAUAACAACAGAGUUUCAAUCAAACACCUCAUACAAGCAUUCAAUGUAGUCAUUAAGCAAUUGGGAACCCUAGAAGUACUUGUUUAAGUCCUUUAUGGACUAGGACUUCCUUAUUGGGCCCAAUGGACCAAUAAGCUUCCAAUUUGACUACCUUGGGCUUAGAACUCUUAAAUGGUCUCUAAUUGGACCCACUCUAAUUCAUUUUAACACUUUGGGCCAUAUUGGGCCUAGAAUGAAAUAAAACACCUUAAUGGACCUCAUUGGGCCACAACUAACCUAAUUAGCCCUAAUGGGCCAUAAGAACCAUAUUUAUAAUUAUUUGGGCUGUGAAUUACUCUAAAAGGGCCAAUGGGGCGAAAACCAUUAACUUGGACUCCAUAUUAUGGACUUAAACAUAGAAGGCCCAAAUCUCCAUCUCUCUUCUCUAUCUCUCGGCCCAAACUACAAACCCAAGAGGAAAGGGGUUGACUUUGCUUGCCACCUCACUUUUAUAUGGAGGAUAUCUAAGCUUUUGCACUUCAAACAUCCAUGCAAUAUCAUCUUCCCAUGCAAGCACUUCUCUUCUUCUCCCUCUCUCUCUUGCUCUCGGCCGAUUCCAAGUACACACACACACACACACCCACCUUUCACUUACUAUUCUCUCAAGAUACUCUCUCAUUUCUCCUCCAUAUUUUCGAGAUCUAAGGAGCUUUCAAGAAAAUAUCUCCACAAAUUCUUCACCUAAGGUAAGAUCAAGUUUGGAUCUAUGAUAUAAGCUCUUUGUUUUAUCAAAAUCUCCUUCUAAUCCAUGUAAAAAUCAUGAUCACACUCUUAGAAACCCUCUAAGUUCGAGAUCUUCCAAGGAGGGGUACUAAGGCCGAAUUUUCUUCUCAAUUUCUUCCAAAAACCGAAACCACACCCAAAGGUGAGCUUCAUACCCCCUCUUUUUUGGUUUUUAUAAGUUUUGUGGGGGGAGAAUAUAAGCAAAUGUGUAGAUCUAUGAGUAUAUGUAUGCUUUGUGUGAUUUCUAUGCUUAUAUGUACGAUCUUAUGUGAUUGUGGUGUUUGUACUAGUCAAAAAGAACUUGAAAACCGAGAUCUACAAUAUGAUGAAUGGAAUAAGUAUAACUUAUAUCAUUUCAAACUAAUCAAGUCUAGAAAAAUAACCAAGUUGGUUAAUAUGAACAUUUUUGGACUUAAAACCCAUUUUUGGGCUCAAAAUGCUAAAAACACAAAACUAAAGGGUCCAAAACGAACAAAUCUAAAUUCUGAAGGUUGAGAUGAGUCAAAAUAGUUUCUAAUAUGUAUUUUCUAAAAAUUUACACGUUUGAAGGGUUAAAAUGUGAAUUUUUAAACAUAAUGGGCCAAAAAUGGACUUUUCGGCCCAAUAAAGCCCCAAAUUGCGAGAUUUUUGAUUUGGAGGGGCUGAAACUGCACAUUUCUAUAAAACAGGGGAUUACUAGUGUACCAAGUCCAUUUCAAGGGUCAAAAAUGCUUUUCAAAUUAAAAAGGGACCAAAGAUGCAAAAAUUUUCUAUUUUGGGCCAAAAUUGUAAAAGUUGCGAAAAUGGGGGUUUCAGCCGAGAAAAUUUCAUUUUUGAGGGACUUAAGCUGUUUAUCAAGUAAAACUGGGCUAAAAAUGUCCUUUUCAACAUGUUUUAGUUCUAUAGUGUCAAGAAAAAUGGUUCAAGGACUAAAAAUGGAAAUUCUUUCAUAUAAAGGGCUAAAAGCAUAAACUUUAUCCAAGGAGGCGCUUCAAAAAGAAAAACUCUAAUUUUUUUUACAAUAAGUAUCUUAAGGUAAAAUUUCGAGUAUCACGACUAUCAGCAAAACGUAUUAGCGAAUACACCCUCAACACCCAAAAAUCAUUAUCAAACAAAUUGAUUCGGUCUCGAAUCAAUAACAAAUCACGAAUCAAUAAACAAAGAUACUUCAAUACACACGCGGAAACUUUACGGGAAGUCAAUACACCAUCUUUGGGCUCAAAAGUUUCAAAUCAUGCUUGUUGGGCAUAACUAGCCCUAUGACAUGAUUUUUAGGCCUGAAGGGAACGCGCUUACAUGUUAUUGGGCCUUAUAUGACCUAGUUUUGUGUAAAAGGACUUUCAAUAACUUUAUUGUGCUGUUGGGACCCAAGGGUCCUUUGGUACUGCUAGUAAAGUCAAGAGGUCAAAUGCGUGUCGGGCCAAGGGCCUUUCGCAUUCACGAUAGCCUUGAACGACUCAUGGAAAUAACGGGGACUUCGUACCCUCUUUUCUCCUCGGUUGUGGGGCUAUGAGAAGUCAGGGUGGUUGGAUUAAGUGAGUAGUAUGGACGACGCCUAAGGGAUCGUUUGUAUAGUUGUAAACUAGUCAUUUAUAUUAAUGCGUGAUUAUAACGACUCAUGACCCAUAAUUAAUCCAAUGUCACCUGGAAUUAUCAAAAAACAACUUCGUAUCGGAAUAAUACUAACUCAGCCUCGUAAUUUAAUGUAUUGGGAAAACAUCGGGUUUUCCUGGGAAAUUUCAAUGCUCUUAACUAUGCGAUAUAUACAAAGUUUAACAAUUACUCACAUUCAUAAUAAUCAACAAGCAUACUUACGGAUCUUCACGCUUUUUCUUACUUACAAUAAUCUUUUCAGAAAAUAUCGGAUUUUCUGGUGGUUUUCAAAAUAAUACAAAUCAUUAUUUUUCAAACAUUACUUAUGAACUCACCAACAUUUCAUAUGUUGACGUUUUUCCAAAAUACUUGUAUUCUCAAGUAACUGGUAAAUCGAAGAAAAUGUAUCCAGUGAUAUCAUGAUGUUUUGUUUAAUUAAUAUCGAACGGAGCAUGUUUUGGAAUUGUAAUGUGCAAAAACAAUGUACUGAAUGUAAACACUGAUGGUUGUAAUAUUUCAAUGCAUGGUGAUGAAUGAUGUUAUGUUUCAUGUAUAUUCAUUGUGAUGGUAUUCAAUUGAGUCACAAUAGCCCUCGGACGUUUCCGCCGUCUGGUUCGGGGGUGUGACAGGUUGGUAUCAAAGCUCUGUUUAUAGUGAAGUAGCAUAUCUAGCCACACAUUGAUAUGCAACUAUAAACCAAAAGAGGGACUAACACAACUCUGAACAAAACAAGUAAAUCAUAACAAUAAAACACCCUUGCUUGUAUUAGGAACGAGAACCUAACACCGAAUCAAACAAGAUAAUGUUAGUAUCUCGAUUAAUCCAGGACUGUACUUAGUUGUAUCAAGGAGCGGAUGUAGCAUGAUCAACUACAUUCCCUCCAAGGUAUCACUACCACACGUCCUGAGGAGAUCGUGAUAGCUAGGGAACCUAAAAAUAUACCCCUUUAGCACCAAAAAGAGAACAUCUGUUUAGUCUAUGCAAUAGUGGUAGAGUCAUAGGAUAACGAUAGUUUAUUUGUAUACCUUCUCCCAGUCUUCAUUGAAGGAGAGCAGCAGGGCAUUCAGUUUCAUCAAGUCCUAGUGGCUCACGGGAUGCUUGAAGAUGAACCAGAAGGGAAUCAAGAGGGAGCACACGACGUCGGACCUGAUGAAUACACGGACACCGACUACGAAUUCGAGGAGACCGAUGAUGACUUGGAAGAAGAACAAGACCCGGGAAAAGAUCGCGCGGCAUCCCCUGUUAGCGAGGCACAACAAGACCACCCCGCCCCACCAGUGAACCCUGCAAGGGAGAAUCGCUCUCCCGAAGCUGAGAUUGCCGCCCUGCGGCAACAACUGUUCGCCAUGGAAGCACGUGCAAUGCAAGCUGAGCAUGAGAGGGAUGAGGUCAUUGGAGACAUGACUGAGAUGGCUCAGCUAUUGGCUCAGCACUUCGGCAAAUUAUCCCGCCACUAUAUUAGGACAUACCAUGGAGUGUUAGGGAUAGACUUAUCUUACUAGGUCAUUAGGAUCUAUGCUAUGUACCUCGACUCUAUGUUCAAGUGACUACACUACUCAUAGAGCCGUUAUGCUGUUAAACUAGUAUCACUCAUGUAUGCUCUCACGAGCAAAAUUUUCAUGUAUCAAAUGCCGAUAAUAUUAGUAAAACUUUUACAUGUUUUAUUAUGACAUUACAAAUUGCUAUAUGUUGCGAAUCUAUGAUUGUAUGCUAAAUGGUAGAAGUACUUAAGUUCGUACCAUGCACCUAGUCAGUAGGAUCACAGCCUCACAAAAACCACAUACACUCAACAUCUUUCCGUUUCAUGACAGAAAGAUGCCUCACCGACCUACCCGCAGAAACCCUGGACCAACCCCACCCGAAGUUGACUCAGCCGCAUUCCAGGCAGCUGUAUCCGCUGCAGUCACCGCAUCAAUGGCACAAAUUCAUCAAGGGAACAAUGGAGGAGUCAACGGGCAAGGGGCCGGGAGUUCGAACAAUGGAAUGAAUCAAGGACCCACCAAAACAUGUACCUACAAGGAGCACAAACGCCAAACCACGAACCUUUAACGACAUUGGAGGGGUGAUCACUCUGAAGCGAUGGAUCGAGAAGGUGGAAUCAGUAUUUGAGAUAUGCGAUUGUCCUGAGGAGAUGAAGGUGAGGUUUGCAACAUGAACUUUUGUUGACCAAGCGCUCACUUGGUGGAACGGACACGUGGAAGCCAUGACACUCCCCGUAGCCAACUCCAUGCCAUGGGCAGAAAUGAAAGAAAUGCUGAUAGCUGAAUACUGCCCUCGUGGUGAGAUUCAGAAAAUGAAGCAAGAGCUAUGGAACCUCACUGUACGGAAUGCUGAUAUCAAUGCCUACAUAUCAAGAUUUAGUGAACUAUCUCUGUUAUGUCCGGGCAUGAUCACCUCGGAAGGAAAGAAGAUCGAGCGAUUCAUCUGGGGACUAACCUCUCCGAUCCAAGGAAACGUGAUAGCUGCAAAUCCUGAAACUUUCGACAGUGCUAAGAGAUUGGCGAAGAAGCUGUAUGACCACAACAACAAGAAGGGUGAGAAGCCAGCGGAGACUGAGGCCAAGAAGGAAAGUGAUGGAAAGACAGGGAAGAACAACAAAAGAAAGGGGCAUCAAGGCUCCGAGACUUCCAAGAAGCAGCAGACAGUGGUGGUUAAUGCUGCCACCGCGCAAGUUCCAGCUACACCACAUGCUCCAGCCUCAGCUGCUCCAAAUGCUUCCAGACCUUAUUAUGGUAAUCUUCCCAAGUGUAACAAAUGUGGUUUCCAUCACAAUGGAGAAUGCAAGGAUCUGCAGUGCACUAGUUGCAAUCGGAAGGGACACAUGGCAAGGUACUGUAGGACUUGCCCUCUUCAGAAUCAACAAUAGGGAAGCAACAACAACAACAACAAUAACCGCAACAACAACAACACCAACGCUGGCGGCAACAAUGCCGGGCCUAGCCACACCUGCUAUGGGUGUGGAAGGACUGGGCAUUUUUGUCGUGAUUACCCUAACAACAACAAUCCCGGAAAUGGAGGAACGAGAAGGGUGCUGGCUAUGGGUCAGGGGGAGGCAAUUCAGGAUCCCGCUGUUGUUACCAGUAUGUUUCCCCUAAACCACACUUAUGCAAGCAUCCUAUUUGAUACCGGAGCGGAGCGAAGCUUUGUGAGCANAGUUUUUUGAAAUAAGUUUAAAGACUAUCUAGAACAACGACCCCAGAAGCUCAAUGAAACCUUUACGGUGGAAAUGGCUAAUGGGAAAACCGAAUCCACAGGGGAAAUCUACAUCGGAUGUACCCUAACCCUGAACCAACAUGUCUUUCGAAUAGACUUAAUGCAUGUGUCCAUUAGGAGUUUCGAUGAGAUCAUUGGCAUGGACUGGAUAAGCCUCUACCAUGCUGAAAUUAUGUGUCACGAGAAGGCCGUUCGUCUUCGCCUUCCCAAUCACGAAACCCUAGUUAUUUACGGAGACAAACCGAGCACGAGCCUUCGUCUUAUCUCGUGCGUCCAAGCAUAGAAACAUCUACGAAAGAAAGAUUUGACAUUUCUGGCUCACAUAGUGGAUAAAACCAAGGAAGAGACUAACAUUCAAGACAUUCCAGUAGCACAUGAAUUCCCAGACGUAUUUCCUGAAGAUCUUCCUGGAGUACCCACAGAGAGACAAGUUGAAUUCCGAAUUGACCUCGUUCCAGGAGCAACCCCUCUCGCUAAAUCGCCCUACCGGCUAGCUUCUGCUGAAAUGCAGGAAUUGUCCAGUCAACUCAGCGAACUCCUGGGCAAGGGAUUCAUCCGACCUAGCUACUCGCCAUGGGGAGCUCCGGUCCUCUUUGUCAAAAAGAAGGAUGGAUCUGUUAGGAUGUGCAUCGAUUAUAAAGAGUUAAACAAACUCACCGUCAAAAAUCACUAUCCACUCCCAUGAAUCGAUGAUCUAUUUGACCAGCUCCAAGGGGCUAGUUACUUUUCUAAAAUAGAUCUACGGUCCGGGUACCAUCAGCUUAAGGUCUGAGAAGAAGAUAUUCCCAAAACAGCUUUCCAAACUCGUUACGGACAUUAUAAAUUUGUCGUAAUGCCCUUCGGUCUAACAAAUGCCCCUGCCGCAUUUAUGGAUCUGAUGAACCAAAUCUGUCGACCAUUCCUCGACAACUUUGUCAUCGUCUUCAUUGAUGAUAUUCUCGUCUAUUCAUGAAGCAAGGAAGAGCAUGGCCAACAUCUCCGACAAAUCUUAGAGACUCUGCGAGCGGAAAAGCUAUACGCAAAACUCUCCAAGUGUGAGUUCUGGCUCCGUAGCGUGAACUUCCUAGGUCAUGUUGUUAGUCAAGAAGGAAUUCAUGUGGAUCCUUCCAAGGUCAAAGCCGUCGAAGGAUGGGCAGUCCCGACAACACCCACAGAAAUUCGUCAAUUCUUAGGCCUAGCAGGCUACUAUAGGAGGUUCAUUCAAAACUUCUCUAAGAUCGCCAAGCCACUUACCUCACUUACACAAAAGGGCAUACCAUUCAAAUGGACGGACAAACAAGAAGUUGCAUUCCGAACCCUGAAGCANGACAAACAAGAAGUUGAAUUCCGAACCCUGAAGCAAGCCCUCUGUAGUGCCCCGGUACUAUCUCUACCGGAGGGAACGGAAGAUUUCGUGGUCUACUGUGACACGUCAAAUCAAGGCUUAGGUUGCGUGGAAGGGUGAUAGCUUACGCAUCCCGCCAGCUAAAGACACACGAAGUGAAUUACACAACCCAUGAUCUGGAAUUGGGAGCGGUGGUCUUUGCUCUAAAGAUUUGGAGGCAUUACCUUUAUGGUACGAAGUGCACCAUCUUCACGGACCACAAAAGCCUCCAGCAUAUCUUGAAUCAGAAAGAGCUGAAUAUGAGGCAACGACGACGGGUUGAAUUAUUAAACGAUUACGAGUGUGAAAUCAAGUACCACCCGGGCAAGGCCAACGUGAUAGCUGAUGCAUUGAGCCGGAAGGAGUACUCUAAUCGUCGUGCGAAAAAUCUCUCAAUAACCAUUCAAUCUCACCUAACCACUCAGAUUGGGGUAGCCCAGUCAGAGGCCAUGAAGACGGAAAACAAAGCAAGCGAAGCAUUACGCGGAAUGGAGAAGAAUCUAGAGAUAAAAGAGGAUGUAGUAUACUAUUUCAUGAAUCGUAUUUGGGUCCCUAAACUUGGAGGAUUUAGGGAGGUAGUCAUGAAUGAAUCUCACAAAACGCGAUACUCCAUCCAUCCCGGUUCGAACAAGAUGUACUUGGAUAUCAAACAACAAUAUUGGUGGCCUAACAUGAAGGCGGAAAUUGCCACCUAUGUCAGUAAAUGCCUUACUUGUGCCAAAGUAAAAGUGGAGUACCAGAAGCCCUCGGGGUUAUUACAGCAACCGGUAAUCCCCGAGUGGAAAUGGGAAGGGAUUUCUAUUGACUUUGUGACCAAACUACCUAAGACGUCAGAUGGACUAGACACCAUAUGGGUAAUAGUCGACCGACUGAUGAAAUCCGCUCAUUUCCUACCAAUAAAAGAAUCCUACAAGAUGGAUAAGCUGACAUGAUUAUACAUUCGAGAAAUCGUGAGACUCCACGGAGUACCAGUGUCUAUUAUCUCGGAUAGAGACAGUAGGUUCACUUCACGUUUUUAGCAAUCACUUUAGAAAGCACUCGGAACCCAUCUCGACAUGAGCACCGCUUAUCACCCACAAACGGACGAUCAAAGUGAACUAACCAUCCAGACGCUCGAAGACAUGCUUCGCGCAUGUGUGAUAGACUUUGGGAAGUCUUGGGAUACCCACUUACCCUUAGUUGAAUUCUCGUAUAACAACAAUUACCAUUCGAGCAUCAAGGUCGCUCCUUUCGAAGCACUAUACGGGCACAUGUGUGACAUGAUUUUUAGGCCCGAAGGGAACGCGCUUACAUGUUAUUGGGCCUUAUAUGACCUAGUUUCGUGUAAAAAGACUUUCAAUAGCUUUAUUGUGCUAUUGGGCCCCAAGGGUCCUUUGGUACUGCUAGUAAAGUCAAGAGGUCAAAUGCGUGUCGGGCCAAGGGCCUUUCGCAUUCACGAUAGCCUUGAACGACUCAUGGAAAUAACGGGGACUUCGUACCCUCUUUUCUCCUCGGUUGUGGGGCUAUGAGAAGUCAGGGUGGUUGGAUUAAGUGAGUAGUACGGACGACGCCUAAGGGAUCGUUUGUAUAGUUGUAAACUAGUCAUUUAUAUUAAUGCGUGAUUAUAAUGACUCACGACCCAUAAUUAAUCCAAUGUCACUUGGAAUUAUCAAAAACAACUUCGUAUCGGAAUAAUACUAACUCAGCCUCGUAAUUUAAUGUAUUGGGAAAACAUCGGGUUUUCCUGGGAAAUUUCAACGCUCUUAACUAUGCGAUAUAUACAAAGUUUAACAAUUACUCACAUUCAUAAUAAUCAACAAGCAUACUUACGGAUCUUCACACUUUUUCUUACUUACAAUAAUCUUUUCAUAAAAUAUAGGAUUUUCUGGCGGUUUUCAAAAUAAUACAAAUCAUUAUUUUUCAAACAUUACUUAUGAACUCACCAACAUUUCAUAUGUUGACGUUUUUCCAAAAUACUUGUAUUCUCAGGUAACAGGUAAAUCGAAGAAAAUGUAUCCAGAGAUAUCAUGAUGUUUUGUUUAAUUAAUAUCGAACGGAGCAUGUUUUGGAAUUGUAAUGUGUAAAAACAAUGUACUGAAUGUAAACACUGAAGGUUGUAAUAUUUCAAUGCAUGGUGAUGAAUGAUGAUAUGUUUCAUGUAUACUCAUUAUGAUGGUAUUCAAUUGAGUCACAAUAGCCCUCGGACGUUUCCACCGUCUGGUUCGGGGGUGUGACAUCGAAGCAAAGAUUCCAUCUGCGAGACGCUUGCUUAAGUCCAUAAAUGGACUUCUCAAGCUUACGCACUCUAUUCGGAUGCUUCGGAUCCACAAAACCCUCUGGCUGAGCCAUGUAAACAUCCUCAGCCAACUUCCCGUUAAGGAAAGCGGUCUUGACAUCCAUUUGGCAAAUCUCAUAAUCAUGAAAUGCGGCAAUCGCUAGCGUCACUCUAAUAGAUUUUAUCUUCGCAACUGGUGAGAAGGUCUCGUCAUAGUCAAGUCCGGGAGUUUGAGUAAAGCCCUUCGCAACCAAUCACGCUUUAUAUGUGUGUACGUUUCCAUCCACGUCGGUCUUCUUCUUGAAGAUCCAUUUGCACCCAACGGUCUUACGUCCGGGCACAUUAUCAACCAAAUUCCAAACUUGGUUAUCAUACAUGGAUUGGAUCUCACUAUCCAUUGCCUCUUUCCAUUUCGCAGACUCCGGGCCUGCCAUGGCUUCCUUAUAGCUAUUAGGUUCAUUAAGAUUUACUAGUGUACCAUCACUAAUAUACGUGUCCCCUUCGGUAGUAAUAUGAAAACCAUAAAACUGGGGAAGAACUCUAACUCUAUCGGAACGUCUAAGAGGUAAGGAUUCGUCAAUCGGUUCAACCGGAGUUUCCUCCUCGGGUUGAGUGCCAGCGGUAGAGGUUCCUUCAUCUAUCGACUCUUGAAUCUCUUCAAGUUCG